UACGGAGGGUGCAAGCGUUAUCCGGAUUCACUGGGUUUAAAGGGUGCGUAGGUGGGCUGGUAAGUCAGUGGUGAAAUCUCCAGGCUUAACUUGGAAACUGCCAUUGAUACUAUUAGUCUUGAAUACCGUGGAGGUCAGCGGAAUAUGUCAUGUAGCGGUGAAAUGCUUAGAUAUGACAUAGAACACCAAUUGCGAAGGCAGCUGGCUACACGAAUAUUGACACUGAUGCACGAAAGCGUGGGGAUCAAACAGG
RNAcentral lists this ribosomal RNA (253 nucleotides) under uncultured bacterium. RNAcentral's name for it is "partial 16S ribosomal RNA". It matches the Rfam family "Bacterial small subunit ribosomal RNA", at positions 524 to 776 of the family's 1533-position model. The record is from RNAcentral.